Molecule: ribosomal RNA, 265 nt
Filed under: uncultured archaeon
Lineage: Archaea
Description: partial 16S ribosomal RNA
Rfam family: Archaeal small subunit ribosomal RNA
Source: RNAcentral
AGUCACUGACAUUAGAUACCCGCGUAGUCCAGGGUGUAAACGCUGCGGGCUUGGUGUUGGGGGUCCUUUGAGGGCGCCCAGUGCCGGAGAGAAGUUGUUAAGCCUGCUGCUUGGGGAGUACGUCCGCAAGGAUGAAACUUAAAGGAAUUGGCGGGGGAGCACAACAACGGGUGGAGCUUGCGGUUUAAUUGGAUUCAACGCCGGAAAUCUUACCGGGACCGACAGCAACAUGAAGGCCAAGCUGAAGACUUUGCCGGAUUAGCUG